UACCUGGUUGAUCCCUG
This 17-nucleotide ribosomal RNA is filed under the name Acacia citrinoviridis (river jam). Its description in RNAcentral is "partial small subunit ribosomal RNA". The record is from RNAcentral. Lineage: Eukaryota; Viridiplantae; Streptophyta; Magnoliopsida; Fabales; Fabaceae.